Molecule: ribosomal RNA, 407 nt
Filed under: Polynoidae sp. 537-1-2 PB
Lineage: Eukaryota; Metazoa; Annelida; Polychaeta; Phyllodocida; Polynoidae
Description: partial 16S ribosomal RNA
Rfam family: Bacterial large subunit ribosomal RNA
Source: RNAcentral
GCAUAAUCACUUGCCUUUUAAUUUAAGGCUAGAAUGAAAGGAUCAACGAAAUUCUCCCUUUAUUAAUUUUACUUCUUAAAACCUGAACUUCAGGUGAAGAUGCCUGAAUCUAUUUAAAAGACAAGAAGACCCUAUAGAGUUUUAGUAACUCUCUUCACUAUACAACCUUAUUACUUUAAUUGGGGCGAUUAAGGAUUUCACCUUACAUCCUAACUUCUAAACGAUUAUAAAUUUCUAUAUUACCUAUCCUCUUCAAGAGAACUUAAAAUCAACUACCUUAGGGAUAACAGGCUUAUCUUCCUAACAAGUUCAAAUUAACAGGAAGGUUUGGCACCUCGAUGUUGGCUUAGAGUAACCUGAUAAAGCAAAAAUUAUCUUUGGUUAGUUCGUUCAACUAAUAAUCCUCU